This 364-nucleotide unclassified non-coding RNA is filed under the name uncultured bacterium. Its description in RNAcentral is "contains 16S-23S intergenic spacer region". The record is from RNAcentral.
UCCCCGUUACCGGGGCAGUAUGAUUAGAAAAAUUCAACUAAUCACAAGGGUUGCGCUCGUUGAUGGACUUAACCAAACAUCUCACGACACGAGCUGACGACGGCCAUGCAAGACCUGUCACCGAGUUCAAUAAAGCACUCUCGCCUUUCGGCAAAAUUCUCGGGAUGUCAAGCCCUGGUAAGGUUCUUCGUUUAUCAUCGAAUUAAAGAACACGCUCCACCGCUUGUGCGGGUCCCCGUCAAUUCCUUUAUGUUUUAGCCUUGCGGCCGUACUCCACAGGCGGGAUGCUUAACGCGUUAGCUACGGCACGGAACCCGUGGAAUGGAUCCCACACCUAGCGCCCAACGUUUACGGUGUGGACUAC